UCCACGCCCUAAACGAUGAUCACUCGACAUAUGCGAUAUACUGUAUGUGUCCUAGCGAAAGCGUUAAGUGAUCCACCUGGGGAGUACGUUCGCAAGAAUGAAACUCAAAGGAAUUGACGGGGGUCCGCACAAGCGGAGGAGCAUGUGGUUUAAUUCGAUGAUACGCGAGGAACCUUACCUGGGCUAUAAUGUUUUUUGACCUCCCGAGAAAUCGGGAUUUCUCUUCGGAGACA
RNAcentral lists this ribosomal RNA (233 nucleotides) under uncultured bacterium. Its description in RNAcentral is "partial 16S ribosomal RNA". It matches the Rfam family "Bacterial small subunit ribosomal RNA", at positions 794 to 1028 of the family's 1533-position model. The record is from RNAcentral.